UUCCACUGAUGAUUUUUUGUUAGUGCCACGUGUCUGGGCCACUGAGACCACGUGAUGGAACUGAGGAUCUGAGGAA
This 76-nucleotide small nucleolar RNA is filed under the name Zalophus californianus (California sea lion). RNAcentral describes it as "Small nucleolar RNA SNORD66 (ENSZCAG00015002860.1)". It matches the Rfam family "Small nucleolar RNA SNORD66". Rfam says of the family: snoRNA HBII-142 is part of the C/D family of snoRNAs. Lineage: Eukaryota; Metazoa; Chordata; Mammalia; Carnivora; Otariidae. RNAcentral also lists the same sequence under 1 other name. The record is from RNAcentral.